This 253-nucleotide ribosomal RNA is filed under the name uncultured bacterium. RNAcentral describes it as "partial 16S ribosomal RNA". It matches the Rfam family "Bacterial small subunit ribosomal RNA", at positions 524 to 776 of the family's 1533-position model. The record is from RNAcentral.
UACGUAGGGUGCAAGCGUUGUCCGGAAUUAUUGGGCGUAAAGAGCUCGUAGGCGGUUUGUCGCGUCUGCUGUGAAAACUCGGGGCUUAACCCCGGGCCUGCAGUGGGUACGGGCAGACUAGAGUGCGGUAGGGGAGACUGGAAUUCCUGGUGUAGCGGUGAAAUGCGCAGAUAUCAGGAGGAACACCGGUGGCGAAGGCGGCAUCCUGGACCAAUUCUGACGCUGAGGAGCGAAAGCCAGGGGAGCAAACGGG